GGGGAGUACGGUCGCAAGACCGAAACUCAAAGGAAUUGACGGGGGCCUGCACAAGCGGUGGAGCAUGUGGUUUAAUUCGAUACAACGCGCAAAACCUUACCAGCCCUUGACAUAUGAACAACAAAACCUGUCCUUAACAGGAUGGUACUGACUUUCAUACAGGUGCUGCAUGGCUGUCGUCAGCUCGUGUUGUGAGAUGUUUGGUCAAGUCCUAUAACGAGCGAAACCCUCGUUUUGUGUUGCUGAGACAUGCGCCUAAGGAGAAAUUGCCACCGAGUGACGUGCCAGCGCUACUACUUGAUUGUGUGCCAGCACGUAGCUGUGCUUUCAGCAAGAAUUUCACCAUUGGGAGCCGGUGCCUUUCGAAGCACUUUCACGUGUGAACCGAAGUCGUCUUGCCCAAGACCCACGGAGACCUACCUAUAGUGACGUCAAAGUACCAGUGAGCAUGGAGGUUUGGUUGAAAUUGGUUACGACGACGUCGAGUUGGCGGCGGAGGAAGACUCGGCAUGAAGGCCAGAAAAUGGUGUGGAACGUAGUGGUAAUAGUACGCGCCCCGCUCCGAAACAAAGAAAAAGGUGCGUGCCGCACUCACGAGGGACUGCCAGUGAGAUACUGGAGGAAGGUGGGGAUGACGUCAAGUCCGCAUGGCCCUUAUGGGCUGGGCCACACACGUGCUACAAUGGCAAUGACAAUGGGAAGCAAGGCUGUAAGGCGGAGCGAAUCCGGAAAGAUUGCCUCAGUUCGGAUUGUUCUCUGCAACUCGGGAACAUGAAGUUGAAAUCGCUAGUAAUCGCGGAUCAGCAUGCCGCGGUGAAUAUGUACCCGGGCCCUGUACACACCGCCCGUCACACCCUGGGAAUUGGUUUCGCCCGAAGCAUCGGACCAAUGAUCACCCAUGACUUCUGUGUACCACUAGUGCCACAAAGGCCUUUGGUGGUCUUAUUGGCGCAUACCACGGUGGGGUCUUCGACUGGGGUGAAGUCGUAACAAGGUAGCCGUAGGGGAACCUGUGACUG
This 1019-nucleotide ribosomal RNA is filed under the name Triticum aestivum (bread wheat). Its description in RNAcentral is "rRNA SSU_rRNA_eukarya". It matches the Rfam family "Bacterial small subunit ribosomal RNA", at positions 875 to 1520 of the family's 1533-position model. Lineage: Eukaryota; Viridiplantae; Streptophyta; Magnoliopsida; Poales; Poaceae. The record is from RNAcentral.